RNAcentral lists this unclassified non-coding RNA (291 nucleotides) under Hevea brasiliensis (rubber tree). The record is from RNAcentral. Lineage: Eukaryota; Viridiplantae; Streptophyta; Magnoliopsida; Malpighiales; Euphorbiaceae.
CCUGGGGUUGGUACUCCAAAGAGUAGGAGUGUCUCGAGGUUUGGAAGAGAUGGAAGCAUAAGUUCAAGGUCACCAUCUGUAAGAGAGGAUUCUAAUCCUCCUUGGUAAAAAUGUAUAUUUCAUGGAUAUGGAGUUUCACAUUGGCAAGUAGUGGUUUUGUUAUAGCAUAAUUAACAAUCAAGUAAGCUUUUUGUUUCAAGGGUUAAUGUAUAAUUUAGUUGUGAUCCUUUUCCUCUGUUUACAUGGUUGCUAAUGUUUCAAAAAAACCACUACUUGCCAAUGUGAAACUCC